Molecule: long non-coding RNA, 1860 nt
Filed under: Nicotiana tabacum (common tobacco)
Lineage: Eukaryota; Viridiplantae; Streptophyta; Magnoliopsida; Solanales; Solanaceae
Description: long non-coding RNA (NTAB_LNC006011)
Source: RNAcentral
CGGAAAUCGCCUCAUGGUGGUUUCGGUGGCCCAAACAACCCCAAAUUAACACCAGUGAUUCUCCUUCACCUCAUUAUCUCAAAUCCUUAAACUGUUCCUUUCGAAUCACGGCCGAAAUCGUCGAAUCUUCAAUCGAAAUUUGAACCCCGAACCCUAGUUUACCCAAUCGACCCCAAACUGACACCCCAUAACCUUCCUGACCUCCUUAUACCCAAUACAUAUCUGGUUUCCCUCUAAUUUGUCUAAAAUAGAUCGAAUUUCAAAUCUUGAGUUCUGAUUCUAAAAGUCAGAGUUAAACACAAGAAUUGUUGAUGAUUUCAAGGCCGAUUUUGUCGCAAAAUGGUGUUAAUCAUUUGUUCUAACAAAGAACGCUUGACUAACAUCAUUUGGCGAUGAAGUCGGAAAAAAUUCGAGUGCCAAAUGAACCUGUUGAGUUGGUGAGUAUCCAGUACUACUUCUUUUCUUUUCUUGUUAUUAUUCCACUUCUGCCCCGUCUUCUUCUUUUCUUAGGUUUGAAUUAGGCUUAAAAUUGUGAAUUGUCCAUUCGAUUGUCUUUGGUGCAUAUCCAUGUAUGUCGUUAAUUAAUUUAAUAGCGAUGUUGAUUUUUCAAACUAGUUAAAGGUUUUAGUCUUUUGUUUACUAUAAUUGUGGUACUUCGAAACUUAGGGAGGGAUGAAUAACAGAAGCCUUGAGGGUAAUUUGGGUAGGGAAACCUGUCAAUAAUUAAUUAGAGGGCUUCUCAAUAGUGGUAGGGUCUAGGAAAUGCACUACUGAAUUAAUUAUAAGCACUAAGUAGUGGAAUGAAUUAAAAAUGAAAAGGGGACUUGUAGUGGCUGGCUUAAUGCCCUUUUAGGAGGUGGAAAUCAGAGAACAUGGGUGAUGUAAUUAAAGACUAAAAAAUACAGGUGUAAAAGGGUAUACAGUCUGGAAAGGGAGGGGAACAGAAGAAAAAAGGACAGAAUACACCUUAAAAGGGGGAUACUCACUGAUAUAUAAGAAGCAAGGACUGACUUUGUGUAAAAAAAAAGUAGAGAGAUGCAGAGAUAGAGAGAGAUAAGCAUUAAGAUAUACACAGCAGUUGGAUAUUCUAAAAUAGGAGGGAGGGAGAUCCAAAUACUCUAAAAUACUAAGAGGAGAAAUUUCUGAAAAUACCAGGCAGCAGUAGAAACUAUUGUUUCAUUAAGUUAUCUUGGUGAUUUCUUAGAUUUCAAAUUCCUGAAAUGAAUCCUAGUUCACUAUUUCAUUGAUCUCUCUUGUUUUGAUUUUUUUUUCAAAUUUUCAAUCUGUCCAAUCUAGUUUAGUUCAUUCGAGUGUUAGAAGUGGAAUGGAUUUCGUUUUGAGUGGGAUGUGAAGUUUGCUGAACAAGUAGAUACUCUACGGGUUUCUGGGGUCGAUCUUGACACCUGGUGGUUAGAAUAUGAGGUUUAUCUGUUGUACUGUUGAUUGUUUGAGCUUGCUGAAUCUCAUUUCUUCAUUGUUUACCCUCUUUUCCAGGUAUACACUUCUAUUUCCACCUAAUGUAAAGCUUGGCUUGGAAUAUAUAAAAGAUGGAUUUAUGGAGCUUUGAGUAGGAGUUAUGUUGUGUUAGUUUACUUGUUUGUUUCUAUUUCAUUUUGGUAGUUUUGAUCGUUACCCCUCCACCCCUGAAUAUGUGAUCAAGAGAAUAAUUUUCUAAAUAUUGUAGAUUACAUGAUAGUUUGGAUGGGUAUCUCUUUUAGUUGAAGCCUUUUAAAUAUAUUCGGUUGGUUGCUUGUUUUUGCUUUAAGGUCUGGAUUUGAGCCUGGUUGAAUAUAGCUAACUCAAGAUCUUUUGGAUUGUUAAAUAUGUACUAGUUAAGGUUGUUCCAAUGUUUAUUUGUCG